This 213-nucleotide ribosomal RNA is filed under the name Triticum aestivum (bread wheat). Its description in RNAcentral is "partial small subunit ribosomal RNA". The record is from RNAcentral. Lineage: Eukaryota; Viridiplantae; Streptophyta; Magnoliopsida; Poales; Poaceae.
AUGGUUAAUGCAAUCAAGGGGCUGUUCAUCUCCUGUGAUAUACCGAUGGCUCAGUUCAUUGUCAAUAUGAAUGCGUCAAUGCCCGCAUCGGAGAAGUUCAUCAUGCACAUUCUUGACCCCACACACAUGUUCAUCCAGCCUAAUAUGGGAGAUUACAUCAAAAGUAAGAUGGCGGAGUUCAGAGACCAGAACAGCUAUGAGAAGCCAACGUGA